This 451-nucleotide ribosomal RNA is filed under the name uncultured organism. Its description in RNAcentral is "partial 16S ribosomal RNA". It matches the Rfam family "Bacterial small subunit ribosomal RNA", at positions 332 to 799 of the family's 1533-position model. The record is from RNAcentral.
UACACUCCUGCGGGAGGCAGCAGUGGGGAAUAUUGGACAAUGGGCGCAAGCCUGAUCCAGCCAUGCCGCGUGAGUGAUGAAGGCCCUAGGGUUGUAAAGCUCUUUCACCGGUGAAGAUAAUGACGGUAACCGGAGAAGAAGCCCCGGCUAACUUCGUGCCAGCAGCCGCGGUAAUACGAAGGGGGCUAGCGUUGUUCGGAUUUACUGGGCGUAAAGCGCACGUAGGCGGACUAUUAAGUCAGGGGUGAAAUCCCGGGGCUCAACCCCGGAACUGCCUUUGAUACUGGUAGUCUUGAGUUCGAGAGAGGUGAGUGGAAUUCCGAGUGUAGAGGUGAAAUUCGUAGAUAUUCGGAGGAACACCAGUGGCGAAGGCGGCUCACUGGCUCGAUACUGACGCUGAGGUGCGAAAGCGUGGGGAGCAAACAGGAUUAGAUACCCGAGUAGUCCCAUG